This 1038-nucleotide long non-coding RNA is filed under the name Anas zonorhyncha (Eastern spot-billed duck). Its description in RNAcentral is "lncRNA (ENSAZOG00000017808.1)". The record is from RNAcentral. Lineage: Eukaryota; Metazoa; Chordata; Aves; Anseriformes; Anatidae.
AUGUGCAGCAGGAUGGCCCCAGCAGGGCCACGGGGCCGGGCACCGGCUCCUACGGGAGCGGUGAGACCGUGCAGUACGCACAGGUGGCAGGGGACGGCUACAAGGGCCAGCAGCACGUCCCGUGUCGCCUCUACCUCCGCUCCAGCUCCACGCAGCCCCUGCUUUUCGACCGCAGCCCCAGCCCCAAACCCUACGAGAACCUGUGGUUCUAUGGGGCCACCCCCAGCCACGGCUGCCAGGGGGCCGGGGGCUUCUUGGAGGAGCCCCUCAUCGACUUCCCCCUGCUGCAGGGCCUGCAGAUCAGCGGGGCCGAGGAGCUCCACGACUUCCAGCGGUGUUAACGACGCCAUCCUAUUAUGGGACCAAAGACCCCAGACCAAACCCUGCUCCAUGAUCCUCCCCCUAUGCCCCCCAAGCUGGGCAUGGAGCCUCCCUCCUGCUGCCCCCCAAGGCCCUGCAGCCCCCAGGGGUGCUCUGUGGGGACCGUGGGCCUCUCCCUUUUGCUUUCCCAUCCCCUUUUUUGAUCCCAUCCCCUUUUUUCUCCCAUCCCUUUUGCUCUCCCAUCCCCUUUGNNNNNNNNNNCCAUUACGGGACCAAAGACCCCGGACCAAACCCCGCUCCGUGAUCCCCCCCCGUGCCCCCCAAGCUAGGCAUGGAGCCUCCCUUCUGUUGACCCUAAGAGCCUGCAGCCCCCGGGGUGCUCUGUGGGGACCCUGGGCUUGUCCCUUUUGCUUUCCCAUCCUCUUUUGCUUUCCCAUCCCUUUUUUUUCCCCAUCCCUUUUGCUCUCCCAUCCCCUUUGCCCUCUGCUCCUGUCCCCCACGCCCCCCAAGCUGGGCACGGAGCCCCCCUCCUGCUGCCCCCCAAAGCCCUGCAGCCCCAAGGGGUGCUCUGUGGGGACCGUGGGCCUGUCCCUUUUGCUUCCCCACCCCCUUCACCCUCCUGUCCCCUUUAUUUUCCCCCUCUACCCCUGUCCCCCCCCACGACCCCACAGCCUGGCUGUGAGGUGCAGGCAACCCCUCCCUGCAGAGCAGCCCUAA